AACGAACGCUGGCGGCAGGCUUAACACAUGCAAGUCGAACGGUUGUAGCAAUACAGCAGUGGCAGACGGGUGAGUAACACGUGGGAACCUUCCUAGGGGUACGGAACAACUCAGGGAAACUUGAGCUAAUACCGUAUACGUCCGUGAGGAGAAAGAUUUAUCGCCCUUAGACGGGCCCGCGUCGGAUUAGCUAGUUGGUGGGGUAACGGCCCACCAAGGCGACGAUCCGUAGCUGAUCUUAGAGGAUGAUCAGCCACACUGGGACUGAGACACGGCCCAGACUCUUACGGGAGGCAGCAGUGUGGAAUCUUGGACAAUGGGCGCAAGCAUGAUCCAGCCAUGCCGCGUGAGUGAAGAAGGUCUUCGGAUUGUAAAGCUCUUUUACCAGGGACGAUAAUGACGGUACCUGGAGAAUAAGCCCCGGCAAACUUCGUGCCAGCAGCCGCGGUAAUACGAAGGGGGCCAGCGUUGUUCGGAAUUACUGGGCGUAAAGCGCACGUAGGCGGGUCGUUAAGUCAGGGGUGAAAUCCCGGAGCUCAACUCCGGAACUGCCUUUGAUACUGGCGAUCUUGAGAUCGGAAGAGGUGAGUGGAAUUCCCAGUGUAGAGGUGAAAUUCGUAGAUAUGGGAAGAACACCAGUGCGAAGGCGGCUCACUGUCCGAUAC
Molecule: ribosomal RNA, 665 nt
Filed under: uncultured bacterium
Lineage: Bacteria
Description: bacterial SSU rRNA
Rfam family: Bacterial small subunit ribosomal RNA
Source: RNAcentral